Molecule: transfer RNA, 79 nt
Filed under: Micromonospora tulbaghiae
Lineage: Bacteria; Bacillati; Actinomycetota; Actinomycetes; Micromonosporales; Micromonosporaceae
Description: tRNA-Lys
Source: RNAcentral
GCGCCGCGCGGGACCGAUGAGCGCGGCAUCGACGGGGCUCUUAAUCCGCGGGUUCGGGGUUCGAGUCCCUGGCGGCGCA